RNAcentral lists this ribosomal RNA (253 nucleotides) under uncultured prokaryote. RNAcentral describes it as "partial 16S ribosomal RNA". It matches the Rfam family "Bacterial small subunit ribosomal RNA", at positions 525 to 777 of the family's 1533-position model. The record is from RNAcentral.
ACGUAGGAGGCAAGCGUUAUCCGGAGUUACUGGGCGUAAAGCGCAUGUAGGCGGUUGGGCAAGUGGCGUGUGAAAGCUCCCGGCUAAACUGGGAGAGGACACGUCAGACUGCCCGGCUAGAGGUCGGUAGAGGGGCGCAGAAUUCGGGGUGUAGCGGUGAAAUGCGUUGAUAUUAUGGGGAACACCAAAAGCGAAGGCAAGAAACUGGACCGCUCCUGACACUGAAACACGAAAGCGUGGGUCGCGAAUGGGA